This is a long non-coding RNA of Betta splendens (Siamese fighting fish), 1640 nucleotides long. RefSeq lists it as uncharacterized. The transcript has 3 exons. The record is from RefSeq and is a predicted model, not a curated record. NCBI's taxonomy places the organism in Eukaryota, Metazoa, Chordata, Actinopteri, Anabantiformes, Osphronemidae.
ACAGUCCUUGAAUCAAGUUGAUUUUUCAAAGGUGUCGUUGCUUCACCUUCUGCCACUGUUGGAACGGCUCCUCUGCGUCUGUAGAGAGUCGAGGCUCAGUGUGUUGAGGUUAAACGGACCGGUACCGUUCUGACUGAAGAAGCAGCUUUGGCCUCAAUCCAGCACCUGCUUAUUAUGGAGCUGAAAUGACUGCGCUCUGUGUCCAGAUGUGAUCAGAUGAUGUGUUACGCCAUCAAAACGCUGACGAGACAAUGAUGUCGCUGGUUUAGUUUGGGAGGAAAUUACACCACACACUUAGUUCCUUUCAUUUAAACUACCCACAAUGCUCUGUUGUGUCUGGGUGAUUAAAUGAGUAUUACAGCAAUGAGAGGGAGUAAUAACCCUCGGUGCACGACGGUAAUGAGGAUAAUGGACAGUCCGGCUGCUGCGUUUGGUCCAGACCAACAGCUGCGAAGGACAAAACCCAGAACCCAGAGGCCACCGUGGAAAACACAGGAUCCUCAAUCAGCACUAAUGCAAAACAGGCCGCCGGCCCGAAUGAGGCAGCUGUGACUCGCAGGUCACAUGAUGCACCUCCAUGUUCAGUCACUGGAGCAGACGGUUAAAAUCAGGUGAGACGAGCUUUGAAAACGUGACCAAAGCCUUCGAUGUUUCAGUCUCGUUCACAAACGUCUCGCUGGGAAACUGUCAGACUUGGGCAGGCGUCGGACCCACAUGCACAGCACAGAGGCAAGCUGUUUGUGCGACUGAGGGAAGCAGGAAGCCUUCGCCUCCAUGAGGACCGUGUUCCAGCCUGUGACUGGCACUGACCCCACAUCAGCCGGGCUCAAUGGGCUCGAUCCAUGUGACGUCACCAGAAGGUUCAGAGGAGGAGACGAUUCAUCAUCCCUGAUUCAACCAGGAUCCUUUAGGACAGUGUGGGAUGGACACAACAUGGAGUUCUCCGCAGCGCUGCCGUUCAGACGGGGGAUCGAUGUGAGGGCCACGCAGUGACCACAGUGUGGGAAUCCCAACAACACCUCAUUCAUCACCCGGUCCGUCUGCGUGGACACUAGAAGAGACGCCCAGACAAAGGGUUUCUGCCUUUAAUUAGCAGCAGCCACACGAGCCGCUGUGAACGUCUCCUGUUCUGGAAAAGCACAAAACGUGGUUCUCGUGGGUUCGUCGGCUCCACAUCAAAGCAAACACAGACAGGACGUCUGCUUUCUGGCCCAGAGUCAGACGUUCUGCCGCUGCUUCCUUUUGCCCAAGACGACGACCUGGAACCUCCACUGUACACGGAACCCAACGGCAGAACGUGAGCAGACGUCCUGCAGGGAACUCAGAACACUGGCGUUUCUUCUGUGAAGAAAGAAGCAAUAACUCAAACAGGACUCCAGAGUUUUGCUACUUGAUGACGCGGUGCUUGAGUUUCUGAGCUCAGCAGACGGUCAAGGCCUGGAUGUGCUCGAGAGCAGAUCCAUCUGCCACUGUUUGUUUAUUGUGACCCAUUCUGGACAGAAGCCAGUUUCACAACUGAGACACUUUGCUUCUUUUCUCUGAAAAUGCCGUCAUGUUUCCUCUUUCGAUUCUGGACUGUUAAAUGUGAAGACUUAAAUGUGGCUUUGUGAUAUUUUAUGACAUUUAAUAAACAAGUUAAU